Patiria miniata (bat star) is the source of this 283-nucleotide long non-coding RNA. RefSeq lists it as uncharacterized. Lineage: Eukaryota; Metazoa; Echinodermata; Asteroidea; Valvatida; Asterinidae. The transcript is spliced from 2 exons. The record is from RefSeq and is a predicted model, not a curated record.
CCACAUGUAUUCUCAUGUAACUGCUGGUGAGUUAUUCCAAGCUUACCACAUGGUGGCGCUCUCCACAACUCAUGAGGGCGCUCUUCAUUGCUACCACAGAUUCAUGGUCCUUAUUGAUGACACAUGUCUGUGUCCUAAAUUUUUGACUCGUAUUUUGACUCAGUAUAAUUCGAUCAUCCUUCCACCCCAGGACCCGAGGACAGAGUUUUUACGUGAACUCUGCAAUCGCCACAGUCAUAUUUGGUAAUAAAUAAGCCAGGAAUAUACAGUGUUGAACUUGAAA